Long non-coding RNA from Numida meleagris (helmeted guineafowl), 1274 nucleotides. The record is from Ensembl. NCBI's taxonomy places the organism in Eukaryota, Metazoa, Chordata, Aves, Galliformes, Numididae.
GAGCAUGUCUUCAAGUUUUUCAUUUAUUUUUAUGUAUAACAGAAACUGAUAAGAAUUGUAGUUGAAAGGGAGAAAAAUGAUGAGUGCAGAAUAAAAGUUUGUUCCUGAGAUUCCCUUUGCAGCAGCACAAGCUGCAAUCAUUUUGACAGAGGAUUUAAAGAGACACGGAAAAGGAAUGUGGGAAGUAUUUUUCCCUCCAGUUCUUUUUAACACAAGAAAGAAAACUGGUUUCUAUGCUAGAAUUUUUUUUUCAGCUAUUCUUUUCUUGAUUUUUAAUCAAAAGAAUUAAGAAAAUAAGUCUGAAAAACUGAGAGGAGGAAUUGCUUGCCCUGUUUUAAAACAUUUUGGUUUUUUGCAUUGCCUAUUGUUGCAUCAUGUCCUCUCAAAUACAUUGUCAGGUAGCUGAGGAAAAACAGUCUAAUGAUUGGUUUCACUGCUGAAGGCCAAAUAUUCCCUAUGAAGGACAUGCUGAAACCUCCCCCAGCACCUGACAUUUGGAUAUGUUCACAGUGGUAAUAACAUCCAAGACUUUGUUUUAUUUGUUGAGGGAAAAUGUUACUCAGUAAUAUUCUGUCCUUCAUGCUUUACUUACAUAUUUGAAGAAGGAAUCAAAUAACCAGUAUAAAGAGCCUGCACUAUCUGUAUAAAAAUUACAAGUGUUUACCUGGCUUUUCUUACUGUCCUUCAGCAGGUGUUAGGUGCCUGGAUUUCUGUCAGCUGCCUUGGGUAAAAAGGGUCAGCUGUGAGCAGCCUAUCCUGAGCAGGCCUCAUGAGCAUUACAUUGGCUGCUGCCUUCUGUUUCUGAGGAGAGAACAUGCUAGACUGGAUUCAGCUGAGAUGGCAGGUGUUCAGAGUUAAUGAAAAGAAAGCAAUCAACCAGCAAACAUUCAUCAUACAAGUCUGGUACAAACUGGGACUGAGAAGCCCGUUGCACAAGGAAGCAGGCAUCCAUGUUUCUCACAGCCCUUGCAUAAAGAUAAAUUGCUACCUGGAAGAGUCCUCUGAAUGACGGCCAGCAUCCCUAGAGUGUGGGCAAGUGUGGGAAAGGUGAGGCUGCCUGGACAACGUGCAGGCAUAAGAAGAGUUGCAUCACCCAUGCUGUCUUGCAGAUGUUGCCCACUCUGUACUGCACCCAAUGUGGGAUACACUGUCUUAGAGAGCCCCAUGUCCUGAGGUCACACUGUGCCUGUGCUGUGCUUCUCAGGGAAGGGAAAUUUUGCAGCUUUGCUACUAGAAUUUUCUGUGAUUUACUGAUGUUCUGUCAAGGAAAAUUA